GGAGAGAUGGCUGAGUGGUUGAUAGCUCCGGUCUUGAAAACCGGUAUAGUUCGUAGAACUAUCGAGGGUUCGAAUCCCUCUCUCUCCU
Molecule: transfer RNA, 88 nt
Filed under: Danthonia spicata (poverty oat grass)
Lineage: Eukaryota; Viridiplantae; Streptophyta; Magnoliopsida; Poales; Poaceae
Also listed under: 2 other names
Description: tRNA-Ser
Rfam family: tRNA
About the family: Transfer RNA (tRNA) molecules are approximately 80 nucleotides in length. Their secondary structure includes four short double-helical elements and three loops (D, anti-codon, and T loops).
Source: RNAcentral